GUUGGCAAUCUGACUCCUGAGGAAAUGAGUCAUGAUGUGGAGGUAAGAAAUUCAUUGAAAGCUGGCAGUAUACUUUAUUGUUUCCUUCAACUGCUCAUUCGCUUCAUUGUUACAUGGCGGAUUUGGCUAGGAAGAACUUAACAGAAGCUGUAUUCACUUUUAUUGGGAAUGUUCCAAGUUAGGAGAUGGAAACCGAAGUGAAGUCUCAGUUGAAAGAUAAGUCGUGGAAGCCGUCUUCGUUCCAACUCUGUAUGUAGUUGAAUCACAACCCGAAUAUUGGUUGAAGCUUUUAUGAACCCCUUUAUUCAAGCAAAAGCAAUUCUAGAAAUAUUUGGGAUUGUCGGAUUUCGAAUCUGCACCUGCUCCCUCAUGGUCUACAAUUUUCGACAGAUCUGUAGUUUAUAGACCUCUUUCGGUAGAUAUCGGAAGGUGUAGUUGCAUUAUUGUGAAGGAAAAAUGAUGGGUUAAAUGGUGGAAGUCUUUACACCCUAUACACCAAUCUGCCUGAAAAAUUUCAACAACAAUCUUCAAGCAUUCGAUUUGUUCAAGUUCUGAGACAACCGAUUAAGAUCUUAAAAUGGCCAUUGAUACACCAUUUAGGGUACUGAAAGAAGGUGGAAUGGAUGCAAUCAAGCUAGAGGGGAUGCACCACCAAGGAUUUCAGCUGCAAAACACAUUGUUGAAGGUGCGAUUGCAGUUAUGGGGCAUGUAGGGUUGACCCCUCAAGCUAUUAGUGUUCUUGGUGGAUUUAGACCUCAAGGGAGGAA
Molecule: long non-coding RNA, 767 nt
Organism: Helianthus annuus (common sunflower)
Lineage: Eukaryota; Viridiplantae; Streptophyta; Magnoliopsida; Asterales; Asteraceae
Exons: 5
Source: RefSeq, a predicted model, not a curated record